Molecule: long non-coding RNA, 1851 nt
Filed under: Dermacentor andersoni
Lineage: Eukaryota; Metazoa; Arthropoda; Arachnida; Ixodida; Ixodidae
Description: uncharacterized LOC126545292
Source: RNAcentral
AUUUGCAGGUUUCCCUUCAGUAGGAAAUUGCUGGACAGGCGGACCAGCGCACCGGAAUUGCACUGGCGAAGCCACAAGCAACUCAAACAAUCUGUUUAAUUGUUGCACUUUGAACAAUAAUGCUUCUACAAAGGCCAUAGCAGAAAAACAGCCUGAUGCCGAGUAUUUCUGUGCCACGAAGUAAUCAAGAGGCGAGUGCCUAAUGCGGACGAAAUAGAGUGCAUCGAGACUUAGAACGACAGAAAGCUGAGCUAGUUAGUAAGGAUUCAUUAUGCAAAACAGAGGUGAGGCGUGCAGACAGGACACAAGAGCAGAGAAGUGGGCGACGCUCGUGUUGUUUGCUUGUAAAUACUCUACUCUUGUGUCCUGUCUGCACGCCUCGCCUCCGUUUUGCAUAACGAGUGCAUCAACCCACAUAAUAAUAGCGUAGGCGUUUUAUUAACUGUGCAAUAUUUUCAACACUUCCUUGCAUGCCAUUUCAUGUGGAAUAUCUUUUCUGGUCACAAAUUUGUGCAGCGAAUCUAUUUGCAUGAUCGACUACGGGCCUGUGGGACCGUUCACUUGCACUUGAUGCUGAGUCUUUUACAUGUAUCCAUAAACUGCAGAUAUGCACAUCAGAUCUCUGCGAGCAUUUUCAAAAUUCAAUUAUUUUAGACAACAGGCACAUAUGCAAUACUGACAUAAUCUCAAAUACCACUAAGCAGCUGGGACACAUUUUUGUUGACCAUACUCGCAGGUAAAAUAAGUAGAUCAUGUGGACGGCUCCAGCUCAUUUUCCUUAAAUCAGUGUGUACAAGGGGUAUGCAAAAAUAAUUUUUUUCUCGCGCACCAAUUAUUUUGCUGUAUAAGCAAGGGAACCCACCACAUUAGUGUAACGUAUCUUGUACAUCACACUAAUAUGUGCUUUAAUUUACCAAUUGAGAUGAGUUACUUUUAGGGCUCAUUCAGUCAUAUCACACUGCAAAGCUGCAUUCAUCAAUCUUCAAUUGGAUUUUGCAAAUGUUUAAUGAAACAUGUUUCCCUUUUAUGCAGAUAUGCAAUGGCAAGCCCUUCCGUGUGUUCCAAAGACAAUGCCUAUGCCUAGCCACAGCAGCUCCCUCAUACAGACUCCGCAAGCCAAGAGGCUGUGGAUGCAAAUGCAGGUAAGAGGCAAGAAGCAAUAGCACUGGUAUCGACAUUCAUCUAAUUUCUUUCUUUUUCUUUCGUUUAGGCAGCCAGCACACCUCGAACAGCCACCUCGACUGCGGGUGUGUCACCCUAGUCGCCAAGGAAACAUUUGAGGGAAAGUGACAGGCAUUGUGAACAGCCACUUCUCCAUGUACACGAUACUCUUUCUCUCGGAUGACUUCUACGCCUCGCCACGCCAGCACACUUGUGCACAAAGAUGCCGCGGAGGCACGUGCAGGUCAGAGGCAAGAAGCAGUGGCACUGGUGUCGACAUUCACCCAAUUUCUUUUUCUUACACUGAGACAGCCAGCGCACCUCGAACAGCCAACUUGACUACGGGUGUGUCACUCUAGUCGCCAAGGAAACAUUUGAGGGAAAGCGACAGGCAUUGUGAACAGCCACUUCUCCAUGUACAAGAUACUCUUUCUCUCGGAUGACUCCUACGCCUCGCCACGCCAGCACACUUGUGCACAAAGAUGCCGCGGAGGCACGUGCAGGUCAGAGGCAAGAAGCAGUGGCACUGGUGUCGACAUUCAACCAAUUUCUUUUUCUUACACUGAGGCAGCCAGCACACCUCGAACAGCCACCUUGACAGCGGGUGCGUCAGUAGAUUCCUGUUGUACAUAUGCUCAUAAUAAACUUCAGUAAACUUGAACUUGAUAAUAAACUUCAAGGCAAAUGGGA